This 2433-nucleotide long non-coding RNA is filed under the name Malus domestica (apple). RNAcentral's name for it is "long non-coding RNA (MDOM_LNC020293)". Lineage: Eukaryota; Viridiplantae; Streptophyta; Magnoliopsida; Rosales; Rosaceae. The record is from RNAcentral.
ACGAUAACUGGAAGUAAUCAACUUAUUUCACAUAUAUAAUCAUGGUUUUGAAUACACCCUUAGCCAAAACGAAAUUAGCCAAUCAUACUUAAAGCAAAACAAAGAUUAAAUGAAUUAGACAUUGAAAUAUAAGAUAGAAUACACCUAAAAUUGUUCAACAACUCAGAAUGAAGAGCCAAACAAUUGAGUGAAACUGUCCCUUUUCCUUACUUGCGGCAGAUUGGAUGUUGGUGGUUCCUGGGCUGUUUUGAUGAUGUAGAAUGGAUUUUGGGGUGUAGUUGUAGGGUGAGUGUAUGGCGGCUAGGGAUGUUUUUAGGCAGAAACUAGGGUGAAUGGUGGUAGAAUGGUGCGGCUAAGUGUAUGGAAUGUGUUCUGGCGUGAAUGGCAGUCUCUGGAUGAAUUUGUGGCUGCCAAAGAGAGUUUAUUUAAAGGGAUUUCAGGAAUUAAAACCCUAGGUUAUUUUGGUAAACAGAAAUUAAGUCAAAAGCUUCUAGAAAUAGGAAAUCAAAUCAGAAACUUAAGGGAAAGUAGGCUAAAGGGUGCGGCACUAACCUAAAAUAGAUUAGGAAGGUGUUUAUAAGCAAGGAAAUAGGAAAUAACUCCCUCCCUUGCACGGCAAGGAAGAGGGAAGGUGGGAAAGGUGCGGCAAGAAUGAGGACCAUGCAAGGAAUGUGUAAUUUGUGUCCUAGAAUGCUUAAAAGGCCUUCAAAGUUGCUGGAACAUAGGGACAAUUAGGAUUAGGAAAGGUCAAACCAAAAUAAGAAACCUUGGCUUAACUUUCCUACUUCAAGUAGGAAUCCUUGUUGAAGUAGGAAUCCUCAUGUGAUUAGGAAUCUAUCUUCAAUUAGGAAUCCUUCGUCAAUUAGGAAUCCUUCGUCAAUUAGGAAUCCUAACUUUUUCAAAUCUUCAAUUACGUCCAUUCCUUGUGCUCCGAGCAUGUGAUAAUCAUGCCAAGCUCCAUUUUGCUCCAAAAUGCUCCAAAAUGCAACUUCUUGCGUACUUUGUCCUUGGAAUCUGAAAACACACAAAAGUAACUUUAAACACUAAAAUAACUAAGGAAACACAACGUAAAUGCACGAGAACAAGCCAAUUAGGUCGCAUAAAUAUGCUCCUAUCAGUUUUUGACGAAUUUAAAGCAAAGACAAGUAAAUUAAAGACUUAAACAAAUUUAGCAUGAAUUUGGGAAAAAGUAUGGGUGAUUGGCUAGCCAGAGGGUCCUUCUCCAUACAUGACACACUUGCACACAAAUCGAUUUCCAGUUGCUUUUCCAAUAAACCAUGAAUCUCAACGCCCCAGAUUAACCGUGGCAUCACUAAUUAACCCUCAGAUUUUCCUUAAGUCAUUGAAUUGGAUGGACAACGCAUCAGUGAUAGGAGCAUAUUUAUGCGCCUUAGUUUAGCUUGUUCUUGUGCAUUUAUAGUGUUUUUCCUUAGUAAAGUAGUCUUUUAAGCUAGUUUUAUGUGUUUUCAGGUUCUAAGGGCAAAGUAUGCAAAAGGAUGCAUUUUGGAGCCAAGAGGAUGGACGAAAUUGAAGAGUUGAAGAUGAUGUUUCCUACUUGAACAAGGUUUCCUAGUCGAAGUAGGAAAGCGCCUAAGUAAAAGAUGAAAUCCUAAUCAACGAAGGAUUCCUAGUUGGAGAUGGAUUCCUAGAAGAAUGAAGAUUCCUACUCAAACAAGGUUUCCUACUCGAAGUAGGAAAGUUAAAUCCAAAUGGCAUCAAGUUUCAGCAACAAAGAAGAAUUCCAAGUCAAGGGAGGAUUGAGACAUGUUUUCCUAAUGCUAGAAGGACUCCUAAGUGUUGUAGGACACAAAUGAGAAGUUUCUAGAAGAAUUCCCCUCCUUGCCGUGAGUUUCUACAAUUCCUAUCAGUUUUGGGGCUUUCUAGAAGCCCUAUCCUUUAUCCUACAAACCUGCCGCACCUAGGACCCCUUUUUCCUUGCAAAAUCUGAUUGUUUAACCUAUUUCCUGAUGGAUUUGGCUUUCUAGAAGGCCUAAUCUGAUUCACCUAGGGUUUUAGGGCCUAUAAAUAGGUGUGCCGCACCCCUAAAUCAGAUUCACCACUCACCACAAUUCACAAUUCACUCCAGAAAUUCAAAACAACCCUUUGCCGCACCAAUUCACUCCCAUUCACCAUACAAUCUGACUUUGCCGCACCCCCCACCCUUCCUAAACACUUCUACCUUAGUCCAUACUCAUCCACCCAUACAUAUAAGUCCCAAACCUGUCCCUAAAGUCCUUUGCCGCAGCAAGGAGGAGGAGAAGGAAGCUUGGAAGUUCAUGCAAUGCAAGUUCAAGUGGCUGGAAGUUUAGGUGUUUCCUUUCCUUUGAUUUCAAUGUUUAAACUUAUUACUCUUUGUUUUAUGCUUAUGAGGAACUAAACCCCCCCUUGGCUAGGGGGGAUUCGAAAUACAUGUUUAUGCUUGCGAUAUGAUUU